GACGAACGCUGGCGGCGUGCUUAAUACAUGCAAGUCGAACGAAAAGGCCCUGUGUUUGUGGGGUGCUCGAGUGGCGAACGGGUGAGAAACACGUGAGUAACCUGUCCUUGACUUUGGGAUAACUUAAGGAAACUCGAAUUCAUACCGGGUAGGAGCUCCUUCUGCAUUGUUUGGAAUGGAAAGUGUCGGCGGUUGGGCAUGGACUCGCGGCUUAUCAUCUUGUUGGUGGGGUAGUGGCUUACCAAGGCCUGGACGGGUAGCCGGCCUGGGAGGGUGACCGGCCACAUAGGGACUGAGAUACGGCCGAGACUGAUACGGGAGGCAGGAGUGGGGAAUGUAGCAAGAUGGGCGGCAGCAUGAUGGAGGAACGCCGGGUGCGGGAUGACUGCCUUCGGGUUGUAAACCGCGUUCGCCUGGGACGAAGCGUAAGUGACGGUAAUGAGUAAAGAAGCACCGGCUAACUACGUG
RNAcentral lists this ribosomal RNA (468 nucleotides) under uncultured bacterium. RNAcentral's name for it is "partial 16S ribosomal RNA". It matches the Rfam family "Bacterial small subunit ribosomal RNA", at positions 28 to 507 of the family's 1533-position model. The record is from RNAcentral.